AUACGGAGGAUGCGAGCGUUAUCCGGAUUUAUUGGGUUUAAAGGGUGCGCAGGCGGGCGGUUAAGUCAGCGGUGAAAGGCUCGGGCUCAACCGGAGCAGUGCCGUUGAUACUGGUUGUCUUGAAUGCGGUCAAGGCCGGCGGAAUGUGGCGUGUAGCGGGGAAAUGCAUAGAUAUGCCACAGAACACCGAUAGCGAAGGCAGCUGGCCGGGCCUGCAUUGACGCUCAGGCACGAAAGCGUGGGGAUCGAACAGGAUUAGAUACCCUGGUAGUCCACGCUGUAAACGAUGGACACUCGUUGUCGGCGACAGACAGUCGGCGGCCAAGCGAAAGUGAUAAGUGUCCCACCUGGGGAGUACGGUCGCAAGGCUGAAACUCAAAUGAAUUGACGGGG
RNAcentral lists this ribosomal RNA (393 nucleotides) under uncultured bacterium. Its description in RNAcentral is "partial 16S ribosomal RNA". It matches the Rfam family "Bacterial small subunit ribosomal RNA", at positions 523 to 918 of the family's 1533-position model. The record is from RNAcentral.